GGCUAACGCUGGCGGCGUGUCUUAGCCAUGCAAGUCGAGCGGACUUAUGGGGUAACUUAUAAGUCAGCGGCGGACGGCGGAGUAACACGUAGCUAACCUACCCUCUGGACGGGGAUAACCUACCGAAAGGUGGGCUAAUACCCGAUGUAGUCAUCCUGUAUAGGGGUGAUGAAAGGUGGGCUUCUGUUUACAAGCUCAUGCUGGAGGAGGGGGCUGCGGCCUAUCAGGUAGUUGGUAGGGUAAUAGCCUACCAAGCCGAUGACGGGUAGCCGGCCUGAGAGGGUGACCGGCCCGAGGGGCACUGAGAUACGGGUCCCACUCCUACGGGAGGCAGCAGGCUAGAAAUUUGGGCAAUGGGGGAAACCCUGACCCAGUGACGCCGCGUGCAGGAAGAGCCCUUGGGGUGUAAACUGCUGUCGUGUAGGAGAAGGUACUAAGGUGAACAAUCUUAGUACUUGACGGUAUACAGGAGAAGCCCAAGGCUAACCUCGUGCCAGCAGCCGACGGUAAGCUACGUAA
RNAcentral lists this ribosomal RNA (519 nucleotides) under uncultured bacterium. RNAcentral's name for it is "bacterial SSU rRNA". It matches the Rfam family "Bacterial small subunit ribosomal RNA", at positions 28 to 530 of the family's 1533-position model. The record is from RNAcentral.